This 253-nucleotide ribosomal RNA is filed under the name uncultured bacterium. RNAcentral describes it as "partial 16S ribosomal RNA". It matches the Rfam family "Bacterial small subunit ribosomal RNA", at positions 524 to 776 of the family's 1533-position model. The record is from RNAcentral.
UACAGAGGGUGCGAGCGUUAAUCGGAAUUACUGGGCGUAAAGGGCGCGUAGGUGGAUAAUUAAGUCGGAUGUGAAAUCCCUGGGCUUAACCUGGGAAUGGCAUACGAUACUGGUUGUCUAGAGUUGAGUAGAGGGAAGUGGAAUUUCCGGUGUAGCGGUGAAAUGCGUAGAUAUCGGAAGGAACACCAGUGGCGAAGGCGGCUUCCUGGACUCAAACUGACGCUGAGGCGCGAAAGCGUGGGGAUCAAACAGG